RNAcentral lists this ribosomal RNA (497 nucleotides) under uncultured bacterium. RNAcentral describes it as "partial 16S ribosomal RNA". It matches the Rfam family "Bacterial small subunit ribosomal RNA", at positions 28 to 507 of the family's 1533-position model. The record is from RNAcentral.
GAUGAACGCUGGCGGCGUGCCUAAUACAUGCAAGUCGAGCGAACAGACGAGGAGCUUGCACCUCUGACGUUAGCGGCGGACGGGUGAGUAACACGUGGAUAACCUACCUAUAAGACUGGGAUAACUUCGGGAAACCGGAGCUAAUACCGGAUAAUAUAUUGAACCGCAUGGUUCAAUAGUGAAAGACGGUUUUGCUGUCACUUAUAGAUGGAUCCGCGCCGCAUUAGCUAGUUGGUAAGGUAACGGCUUACCAAGGCAACGAUGCGUAGCCGACCUGAGAGGGUGAUCGGCCACACUGGAACUGAGACACGGUCCAGACCCCUACGGGAGGCAGCAGUAGGGAAUCUUCCGCAAUGGGCGAAAGCUUGACGGAGCAACGCCGCGUGAGUGAUGAAGGUCUUCGGAUCGUAAAACUCUGUUAUUAGGGAAGAACAAAUGUGUAAGUAACUAUGCACGUCUUGACGGUACCUAAUCAGAAAGCCACGGCUAACUACGUG